ACGGGGCUCCACCUCUUCCCAUUCCGAACAGAGAAGUUAAGCCCGUUAGCGCCGAUGGUACUGCAUCAAGUGGGAGAGUAGGUCGCCGCCAACC
RNAcentral lists this ribosomal RNA (94 nucleotides) under Marinilabiliaceae bacterium JC017. The record is from RNAcentral. Lineage: Bacteria; Pseudomonadati; Bacteroidota; Bacteroidia; Marinilabiliales; Marinilabiliaceae.